RNAcentral lists this ribosomal RNA (404 nucleotides) under uncultured bacterium. Its description in RNAcentral is "bacterial SSU rRNA". It matches the Rfam family "Bacterial small subunit ribosomal RNA", at positions 355 to 775 of the family's 1533-position model. The record is from RNAcentral.
UAGGGAAUAUUAGUUAAUGUGCGAAAGCGCGAACUAGCAACGCCGCGUGUGCGAUGAAGGUCUUCGGAUCGUAAAGCACUUUUCGAGAAGAUGAGGAAGGACAGUACUCUCGGAAUAAGUCUCGGCUAACUACGUGCCAGCAGCCGCGGUAAAACGUAGGAGGCAAGCGUUAUCCGGGUUUACUGGGCGUAAAGCGCCUGUAGGUGGACGAACAAGUCGGCUGUGAAAGCCCUGGGCUUAACCCGGGGAGGCCAGGCGAUACUGUUCGACUUGAGGGUGACAGAGGGGAGUGGAAUUCCCGGUGUAGCGGUAAAAUGCGCAGAUAUCGGGAGGAACACCAGUGGCGAAGGCGGCUCCCUGGGUCAUACCUGACACUGAGAGGCUAAAGCUAGGGGAGCGAACAG